UUUCCGUAGGUGAACCUGCGGAAGGAUCAUUAAUGAGUUGUCAUGGGGUUCGAUGCUGGCAGCCGAUUUUUGGAUGCAUGUGCUUGCCCUAACAAUCAUCUUCCAAACACCUGUGCACAUUUUUGAGGGAGUCUUGGGUUGGUUGCCGCUCUUGGGUGAUUUUCUCACAUUCCCUUAAAUCAUUAUACGCUAUUAACUAUGUUGAACGUGCUCUGUGCCGCAAGGCUAUUAAUAUAAUACAACUUUUAACAACGGAUCUCUUGGCUCUC
Molecule: unclassified non-coding RNA, 269 nt
Filed under: plant metagenome
Description: partial contains small subunit ribosomal RNA, internal transcribed spacer 1, and 5.8S ribosomal RNA
Source: RNAcentral